ACGGGAGGCAGCAGUGGGGAAUAUUGGACAAUGGGGGAAACCCUGAUCCAGCGACGCCGCGUGAGUGAAGAAGUAUUUCGGUAUGUAAAGCUCUAUCAGCAAGGAAGAAAAUGACGGUACUUGACUAAGAAGCUCCGGCUAAAUACGUGCCAGCAGCCGCGGUAAUACGUAGGGGGCAAGCGUUAUCCGGAUUUACUGGGUGUAAAGGGAGCGUAGACGGCAAAGCAAGUCUGAAGUGAAAUCCCGGGGCUCAACCCUAGAACUGCUUUGGAAACUGUUUAGCUAGAGUGCAGGAGAGGUAAGUGGAAUUCCUAGUGUAGCGGUGAAAUGCGUGGAUAUUAGGAGGAACACCAGUGGCGAAGGCGGCUUACUGGACUGUAACUGACGUUGAGGCUCGAAAGCGUGGGGAGCAAACAGGAUUAGAUACCCUGGUA
This 434-nucleotide ribosomal RNA is filed under the name uncultured Clostridium sp. RNAcentral describes it as "partial 16S ribosomal RNA". It matches the Rfam family "Bacterial small subunit ribosomal RNA", at positions 341 to 792 of the family's 1533-position model. The record is from RNAcentral. Lineage: Bacteria; Bacillati; Bacillota; Clostridia; Eubacteriales; Clostridiaceae.